This 405-nucleotide ribosomal RNA is filed under the name uncultured bacterium. RNAcentral describes it as "bacterial SSU rRNA". It matches the Rfam family "Bacterial small subunit ribosomal RNA", at positions 356 to 773 of the family's 1533-position model. The record is from RNAcentral.
GGGGAAUAUUGCACAAUGGGCGAAAGCCUGAUGCAGCGACGCCGCGUGAGGGAUGAAGGCCUUCGGGUUGUAAACCUCUUUCAGCAGGGAAGAAGCGCAAGUGACGGUACCUGCAGAAGAAGCACCGGCUAACUACGUGCCAGCAGCCGCGGUAAUACGUAGGGUGCAAGCGUUGUCCGGAAUUAUUGGGCGUAAAGAGCUCGUAGGCGGUUUGUCGCGUCUGCUGUGAAAACUCGGGGCUCAACCCCGGGCCUGCAGUGGGUACGGGCAGACUAGAGUGCGGUAGGGGAGACUGGAAUUCCUGGUGUAGCGGUGAAAUGCGCAGAUAUCAGGAGGAACACCGGUGGCGAAGGCGGGUCUCUGGGCCGUAACUGACGCUGAGGAGCGAAAGCAUGGGGAGCGAAC